Molecule: ribosomal RNA, 254 nt
Filed under: uncultured bacterium
Lineage: Bacteria
Description: partial 16S ribosomal RNA
Rfam family: Bacterial small subunit ribosomal RNA
Source: RNAcentral
UACAGAGGUCCCAAGCGUUGUUCGGAUUCACUGGGCGUAAAGGGUGCGUAGGUGGCAUGGCCAGUUUGAUGUGAAAGCUCAGGGCUUAACCCUGAAAUGGCAUUGAAUACUGCUGUGCUGGAGGUUUGGAGGGGGGACUGGAAUUCUUGGUGUAGCAGUGAAAUGCGUAGAUAUCAAGAGGAACACCUGAGGUGAAGACGGGUUGCUGGGCCGACACUGACGCUUACAGCGCGAAAGCCAGGGGAGCAAACGGG